CCCCUCUCAGGAUCGCACCUGCUGAGUUUCCAGUACUUUACCAGACUCGGCUAUGGGAGGGAGAGUCAAGCAGAGGUCUACUCAUUCCAUUCCUAGCUUGGCCAGUGGCUGGCGGGUGGAAGGCCAUCUGCUAUAAGU
This 138-nucleotide small nucleolar RNA is filed under the name Ornithorhynchus anatinus (platypus). Lineage: Eukaryota; Metazoa; Chordata; Mammalia; Monotremata; Ornithorhynchidae. The record is from RNAcentral.